GACGAACGCUGGCGGCGCGCCUAACACAUGCAAGUCGAGCGAGAACCAGAGCUUCGGUUCUGGGGAAAGCGGCGAACGGGUGAGUAACACGUGGGUAAUCUGCCCUCGGCGCCGGGAUAGCCCGGGGAAACCCGGAUUAAUACCGGAUGGCCUCUCGCGCUCUCGGGCGCGAAAGAAAAGGUGGCUUCGGCUUCUGGCCGAGGAUGAGCCCGCGGCCGAUUAGCUUGUUGGUGAGGUAAUGGCNCACCAAGGCUCCGAUCGGUAGCUGGUCUGAGAGGACGAUCAGCCACACUGGGACUGAGACACGGCCCAGACUCCUACGGGAGGCAGCAGUGGGGAAUCUUGCGCAAUGGGCGAAAGCCUGACGCAGCGACGCCGCGUGCGGGAAGAAGGCCUGGUGUAACG
RNAcentral lists this ribosomal RNA (405 nucleotides) under uncultured bacterium. RNAcentral describes it as "bacterial SSU rRNA". It matches the Rfam family "Bacterial small subunit ribosomal RNA", at positions 28 to 430 of the family's 1533-position model. The record is from RNAcentral.